AGGCGUGACGACGAGGCACUACGGUGCUGAAGCAACAAAUGCCCUGCUUCCAGGAAAAGCCUCUAAGCAUCAGGUAACAUCAAAUCGUACCCCAAACCGACACAGGUGGUCAGGUAGAGAAUACCAAGGCGCUUGAGAGAACUCGGGUGAAGGAACUAGGCAAAAUGGUGCCGUAACUUCGGGAGAAGGCACGCUGACACGUAGGUGAAGUGAUUUACUCAUGGAGCUGAAGUCAGUCGAAGAUACCAGCUGGCUGCAACUGUUUAUUAAAAACACAGCACUGUGCAAACACGAAAGUGGACGUAUACGGUGUGACGCCUGCCCGGUGCCGGAAGGUUAAUUGAUGGGGUCAGCGCAAGCGAAGCUCCUGAUCGAAGCCCCGGUAAACGGCGGCCGUAACUAUAACGGUCCUAAGGUAGCGAAAUUCCUUGUCGGGUAAGUUCCGACCUGCACGAAUGGCGUAAUGAUGGCCAGGCUGUCUCCACCCGAGACUCAGUGAAAUUGAACUCGCUGUGAAGAUGCAGUGUACCCGCGGCAAGACGGAAAGACCCCGUGAACCUUUACUAUAGCUUGACACUGAACAUUGAGCCUUGAUGUGUAGGAUAGGUGGGAGGCUUUGAAGUGUGGACGCCAGUCUGCAUGGAGCCGACCUUGAAAUACCACCCUUUAAUGUUUGAUGUUCUAACGUGGACCCGUAAUCCGGGUUGCGGACAGUGUCUGGUGGGUAGUUUGACUGGGGCGGUCUCCUCCUAAAGAGUAACGGAGGAGCACGAAGGUUGGCUAAUCCUGGUCGGACAUCAGGAGGUUAGUGCAAUGGCAUAAGCCAGCUUGACUGCGAGCGUGACGGCGCGAGCAGGUGCGAAAGCAGGUCAUAGUGAUCCGGUGGUUCUGAAUGGAAGGGCCAUCGCUCAACGGAUAAAAGGUACUCCGGGGAUAACAGGCUGAUACCGCCCAAGAGUUCAUAUCGACGGCGGUGUUUGGCACCUCGAUGUCGGCUCAUCACAUCCUGGGGCUGAAGUAGGUCCCAAGGGUAUGGCUGUUCGCCAUUUAAAGUGGUACGCGAGCUGGGUUUAGAACGUCGUGAGACAGUUCGGUCCCUAUCUGCCGUGGGCGCUGGAGAACUGAGGGGGGCUGCUCCUAGUACGAGAGGACCGGAGUGGACGCAUCACUGGUGUUCGGGUUGUCAUGCCAAUGGCACUGCCCGGUAGCUAAAUGCGGAAGAGAUAAGUGCUGAAAGCAUCUAAGCACGAAACUUGCCCCGAGAUGAGUUCUCCCUGAGACUUUAGGUCUCCUGAAGGAACGUUGAAGACGACGACGUUGAUAGGCCGGGUGUGUAAGCGCAGCGAUGCGUUGAGCUAACCGGUACUAAUGAACCGUGAGGCUUAACCUUACA
Molecule: ribosomal RNA, 1393 nt
Filed under: Salmonella enterica subsp. enterica serovar Uganda
Lineage: Bacteria; Pseudomonadati; Pseudomonadota; Gammaproteobacteria; Enterobacterales; Enterobacteriaceae
Description: partial 23S ribosomal RNA
Rfam family: Bacterial large subunit ribosomal RNA
Source: RNAcentral